CCUAUCAGCUUGUUGGNGAGGUAAUGGCUCACCAAGGCGACGACGGGUAGCCGGCCUGAGAGGGUGACCGGCCACACUGGGACUGAGACACGGCCCAGACUCCUACGGGAGGCAGCAGUGGGGAAUAUUGCACAAUGGGCGAAAGCCUGAUGCAGCAACGCCGCGUGAGGGAUGACGGCCUUCGGGUUGUAAACCUCUUUUAGUAGGGAAGAAGGGAGCUUCGGUUCUUGACGGUACCUGCAGAAAAAGCACCGGCUAACUACGUGCCAGCAGCCGCGGUAAUACGUAGGGUGCAAGCGUUGUCCGGAAUUAUUGGGCGUAAAGAGCUCGUAGGCGGUUUGUCGCGUCUGCUGUGAAAUCCCGAGGCUCAACCUCGGGCUUGCAGUGGGUACGGGCAGACUA
RNAcentral lists this ribosomal RNA (402 nucleotides) under Curtobacterium sp. SR2-34-l. RNAcentral's name for it is "bacterial SSU rRNA". It matches the Rfam family "Bacterial small subunit ribosomal RNA", at positions 237 to 643 of the family's 1533-position model. The record is from RNAcentral. Lineage: Bacteria; Bacillati; Actinomycetota; Actinomycetes; Micrococcales; Microbacteriaceae.